AUUGAACGCUGGCGGCAGGCCUAACACAUGCAAGUCGAACGGUAACAGGAAACAGCUUGCUGUUUCGCUGACGAGUGGCGGCCGGGUGAGUAAUGUCUGGGAAACUGCCUGAUGGAGGGGGAUAACUACUGGAAACGGUAGCUAAAACCGCAUAACGUCGCAAGACCAAAGAGGGGGAGCUUCGGGCCUCUUGCCUUCGGAUGUGCCCAGAUGGGAUUAGCUAGUAGGUGGGGUAACGGCUCACCUAGGCGCCGAUCCCUAGCUGGUCUGAGAGGAUGACCAGCCACACUGGAACUGAGACACGGUCCAGACUCCUACGGGUGGCAGCAGUGGGGAAUAUUGCACAAUGGGCGCAAGCCUGAUGCAGCCAUGCCGCGUGUAUGAAGAAGGCCUUCGGGUUGUAAAGUACUUUCAGCGGGGAGGAAGGGAGUAAAGUUAAUACCUUUGCUCAUUGACGUUACCCGCUGAAGAAGCACCGGCUAACUCCGUG
RNAcentral lists this ribosomal RNA (490 nucleotides) under uncultured bacterium. RNAcentral describes it as "partial 16S ribosomal RNA". It matches the Rfam family "Bacterial small subunit ribosomal RNA", at positions 30 to 507 of the family's 1533-position model. The record is from RNAcentral.